GUAUUUUUAGACUUGUGUUAUUUAAAGAUAUAUCUUUUUAAAAAGUCAUUCCUUCAGAAAUGACUUCUGGCAUGAAGACUGCCUUGUCCCAGGAUGUGCUGCUCUGAAGAGAAAAUGGCAAAGCAAGCAGAGGGAGGCGUGUCUUCCAGACUGCUUUCCUGAGAGAGAAGUUCAACGUUAAUCAACGGGGAUCUCACUCCAUACAAAUGGAUAAAUGAUAAAUCUGAAUGCUAAUAAGCUCCAUAGAUGUUAACUUCAUGGAAGUUAUCAGAGAAAGAAAAAAAAGAA
This 288-nucleotide long non-coding RNA is filed under the name Rattus norvegicus (Norway rat). RNAcentral describes it as "long non-coding RNA NONRATT028285". Lineage: Eukaryota; Metazoa; Chordata; Mammalia; Rodentia; Muridae. The record is from RNAcentral.